Molecule: ribosomal RNA, 404 nt
Filed under: uncultured bacterium
Lineage: Bacteria
Description: bacterial SSU rRNA
Rfam family: Bacterial small subunit ribosomal RNA
Source: RNAcentral
UGGGGAAUAUUGCGCAAUGGGGGAAACCCUGACGCAGCAACGCCGCGUGAGCGAUGAAGGCCUUCGGGUCGUAAAGCUCUGUCUUCGCUGACGAUAAUGACGGUAAGCGAGGAGGAAGCCACGGCUAACUACGUGCCAGCAGCCGCGGUAAUACGUAGGUGGCGAGCGUUGUCCGGAAUUACUGGGCGUAAAGGGUGCGUAGGCGGCUCUUUAAGUGAGGUGUGAAAGCCCUGGGCUUAACCCAGGAAUUGCACUUCAAACUGGAGAGCUAGAGUGCAGGAGAGGAAAGUGGAAUUCCCAGUGUAGCGGUGAAAUGCGUAGAGAUUGGGAGGAACACCAGUGGCGAAGGCGACUUUCUGGACUGUAACUGACGCUGAGGCACGAGAGCGUGGGGAGCAAACAGG